Molecule: ribosomal RNA, 342 nt
Filed under: Triticum aestivum (bread wheat)
Lineage: Eukaryota; Viridiplantae; Streptophyta; Magnoliopsida; Poales; Poaceae
Description: partial small subunit ribosomal RNA
Source: RNAcentral
AUGACUAAACUAAUCACAGCUCAAGAAGCGUUGCCAUUAAAAAACUGCAUCAACUUUGCUAGCUUGCCUCCAGCCUUUGCCUCCAGUUCUAGUACUUUUUGCUCAUCAAGCUUCUUCUGUUGUGAUGCACACGUCACAGCACCACCCCGACCCUGCAGCCUGCUCCACGCCGUUGCGCCAGCCAUGGGUACGAUUUGCUACUUACUAUGGUGCACUGCAGGUGAUCUUUGUUUCGUCAUACCAACGAUCACACCCACCCAACCACGGCCACUGCAACUCUCUCUCCAUAACCAAUCUUUUCUCUGUGCUGGGCCAGAAUGGUUAGCAGUAAAAAUUAUUUAG